This 496-nucleotide ribosomal RNA is filed under the name uncultured bacterium. Its description in RNAcentral is "partial 16S ribosomal RNA". It matches the Rfam family "Bacterial small subunit ribosomal RNA", at positions 28 to 523 of the family's 1533-position model. The record is from RNAcentral.
GAUGAACGCUAGCGGCAGGCUUAACACAUGCAAGUCGAGGGGUAGAGGUUGCUUGCAACCUUGAGACCGGCGCACGGGUGCGUAACGCGUAUGCAACCUACCUUUUACAGAGGGAUAGCCCAGAGAAAUUUGGAUUAAUACCUCAUAGUAUAUAACCUUCGCAUGUUGGUUAUAUUAAAGUUCCAACGGUAAAAGAUGGGCAUGCGUCCUAUUAGCUAGAUGGUAAGGUAACGGCUUACCAUGGCAACGAUAGGUAGGGGUCCUGAGAGGGCAAUCCCCCACACUGGUACUGAGACACGGACCAGACUCCUCCGGGAGGCAGCAGUGAGGAAUAUUGGACAAUGGGCGCAUGCCUGAUCCAGCCAUGCCGCGUGCAGGAAGAAGCAUCUAUGGUGUGUAAACUGCUUUUGUACAGGAAGAAACACCCCGACGUGUCGGGGCUUGACGGUACUGUAAGAAUAAGGAUCGGCUAACUCCGUGCCAGCCGCCGCGGUAA